RNAcentral lists this non-coding RNA (112 nucleotides) under Candidatus Entotheonella. Its description in RNAcentral is "TPP sequence". It matches the Rfam family "TPP riboswitch aptamer (THI element)". Rfam says of the family: Vitamin B(1) in its active form thiamin pyrophosphate (TPP) is an essential coenzyme that is synthesised by coupling of pyrimidine and thiazole moieties in bacteria. The previously detected thiamin-regulatory element, thi box was extended, resulting in a new, highly conserved RNA secondary structure, the THI element, which is widely distributed in eubacteria and also occurs in some archaea. Lineage: Bacteria; Pseudomonadati; Candidatus Tectimicrobiota; Candidatus Entotheonellia; Candidatus Entotheonellales; Candidatus Entotheonellaceae. RNAcentral also lists the same sequence under 1 other name. The record is from RNAcentral.
GCAAACUUCUGCGGGAGCCUAAGGAACUGGGCUGAGAGGGCAGCUAGGCCGCUGCCGACCGCUUGUACCUGAUUAGGGUAAUACCAGCGUAGGGAUUAAGAGAACGUUUGAC